AAGGCAUUGAUGCCUUACUAGCUAAAAAUGAGAGUUCAACAUUUGAAAUUAAUGCCACGACUAUCAACAGGCUCUCCGCAAUCAGGUCCAAAAUCAUCAAUUAGAAAGGUAAGCCUCAUGUACCAAUGUACCAUCAUUCAUUAAAAAGAAGAAGAAGAAACCCUGACCUGUUCUUGGUUGCCAACCUCUUUCUUGUCGAAAUAUUGUAAGUUACACUGCUUAGGGAUCAUGGAUACUUGUCUAUAAAUUCUGUUAUGACUGAUGAUACUUCAACUGCUUAAUCUAUAAUUUGUGGCUGCAAUAGUUUUGCACUCGCUAGAUUGUUGUUCCUAGCUUCUCGUCCCUCGACGAAAUGGUCGUGUCUUUGAUUUGCUUUUUUGACGAUC
Populus euphratica (Euphrates poplar) is the source of this 386-nucleotide long non-coding RNA. RefSeq lists it as uncharacterized. The transcript is spliced from 3 exons. The record is from RefSeq and is a predicted model, not a curated record. Lineage: Eukaryota; Viridiplantae; Streptophyta; Magnoliopsida; Malpighiales; Salicaceae.